UCACCCUCGUAAAUGAGAAAGUCUAACGAUCCAGUGUAGUAGCUUUGUUCAGGUUGGUUACAAGUUCUGCCGCUGACGUGAGGUCUACAGCGGCACUGGCCAGUGACUACGUCGCAAGAAUUCUCGUAGGAACCACCAGGAUCGCAAUCGCAAGGCUUGCAACCGUCUGGAUCUUCCGAAAGUCCCCAAUAUUCUGGGAGACAUUGGUUACAAUCGCGAGCAGUAACGUAACGCUUGCAAGUACACUCGCCAGUCACCAUAUUACAUCCACGAUUGUCGAUGGUACCCAGGAUGUUGCAGGAUCGAAGUUCCAGAAACCAUUUUUACAACGAUCGCAACGACGACCUUCGACAUUUGCUUUACAGUUACAGCGGCCAGAUUCGCCUCCGGUGAGAGGAUUGGUUAUCGAAUCGCAUAUACCGUCGUCCAAGGAACCACCUAGGUCGCAGUCACAAGCUACGAACAGAUAAAAAAA
This 475-nucleotide unclassified non-coding RNA is filed under the name Bombus terrestris (buff-tailed bumblebee). Its description in RNAcentral is "misc RNA ENSBTSG00005025847.1". Lineage: Eukaryota; Metazoa; Arthropoda; Insecta; Hymenoptera; Apidae. The record is from RNAcentral.